This 253-nucleotide ribosomal RNA is filed under the name uncultured bacterium. Its description in RNAcentral is "partial 16S ribosomal RNA". It matches the Rfam family "Bacterial small subunit ribosomal RNA", at positions 524 to 776 of the family's 1533-position model. The record is from RNAcentral.
UACGGAGGGUGCAAGCGUUAAUCGGAAUUACUGGGCGUAAAGAGUACGUAGGUGGUUUGAUAAGCGAGAUGUGAAAGACCUGGGCUUAACCUGGGAAGUGCAUUUCGAACUGUCAAGCUAGAGUAUAGUAGAGGGUGGUAGAAUUUCCGGUGUAGCGGUGAAAUGCGUAGAGAUCGGAAGGAAUAUCGGUGGCGAAGGCGGCCACCUGGACUGAUACUGACACUGAGGUACGAAAGCGUGGGUAGCAAACAGG